AAAGGGAGACCUAAUUCGGGUAUAAGACGAAAAAAUAGUAGUCGAAACCAAGAAUCAAUCCCAAAAGGUCGGAACGAGGUAUGUGGCUUUCAAACUAGGUUCUGGGUUCAUAAAAGACCUGAAUCAGGAACAAGGGCUAUUAGCUCAGGUGGUUAGAGCGCACCCCUGAUAAGGGUGAGGUCCCUGGUUCGAGUCCAGGAUGGCCCACCUGCACAGGUGGCAAAAGCAAAGAAAAGAAGCGAGGAAUCAGCACCUUAUCUUACUUAUAUAGUAAGAGAGAAUGCUGGCUCUGAGUACAGAGUCCAGAGGAACCUUGAAAACUGCAUAGAGCUAGGUGAAAAAGCCAAAAAAGAAGACCGCAAG
Molecule: transfer RNA, 363 nt
Filed under: uncultured Microcystis sp.
Lineage: Bacteria; Bacillati; Cyanobacteriota; Cyanophyceae; Chroococcales; Microcystaceae
Description: partial 16S-23S ribosomal RNA intergenic spacer
Rfam family: tRNA (bases 134-207)
Source: RNAcentral